CAAGGGUGGCUGGAGGCUGCCUGAAGUCUGGCUCAGCCCAGGGGAAAGGGAUGAGCAGGGCCUCACCAGGACAUGGAGGGAGGAUCCCCUGUGAUCCAGAGAAGGCCAUAGGGUACUUACCCCCACCUGUGCCAAUCCCCCUGAAAGAUUUUCCCCACGCACAGUAAAAGGAAAGGCUCUCAAAGCAACCCGGGGGACCACAGCAGGGGUGAUGGGAACCCUUUCUAGGGCGGUUGUCUGCUGUCUUCAUAGGCAGGAAGCCACUUCCUGUGGCCCCAACGGUGCCCUGUGAAAAGCCAGGCCCUGGCCCAGCAGCCAAGAGGGCCAGGAUGGGUUCCCCCAGACCCAUUGUCCUAAGAGCAGAUUUGUGUUUUUCAGAGCAACUCUUCACAGCUUCUCCUCUUUCCUAGGUGACAGUGACAGCCAGCGAUGGGCAGGCAGCUUACUCCCAGCCUGGCCUGAGUCUGUGGCCCCAGCGUGAGAUUACUGCAGUGAGUUCUGACCUCAGCAUUGCCAUGGGGAUGCUCGGAUGCCAGGUUGCCAGCAGCAGUACCUUUUCACCCGGGGGAGUGGGAGGGAACCGUGGCUGAUGCUGACUGCCUAUGAUGUGGCCUGCUCUUGCCUGCUGGGGCUGUUUGUCCCCAGACAUAUGUUCCAGAUCUCAGCUAAGUGGGGUGGGCCAGGGGACUCACUCAGGACCUGCGGGCUCUAUUGUGUGUCUGUGUGUUUGGGGUGUGGCGAGAGGUGUUUAUUAGACCUCAUGGGGAGCCUCAUUUUCAUGCCUCCCUGGGCUGACCUGGGCUGCUGAUCACGUGCUCCUAAUGGGCCUCAGAUUGACAUUUGCAGCAACCUGGUCUCCAUAGCAACCAGCUGUGACAUCACAAAGAACCCACAGAGUGGAGGAAGCUUAAAUGCCUGUUUGGGGGAGACAGAGCCUUUGGUCCCUCUCCUUAGGCCCCUCCUGUGAUAGUCGAAGAGGCCUAGGAACGCUGAGAGAGCCAUGGCCUCCGCUUCUCUGGAGCCUGCUUAUCUUGAGAGAGCAUGACAGCCUCAGCAGAAUGGUGUCCAAGACGCAGGGGAGAGAAAGAUUGAUUUGGCCCGGUGGGACGGUCCAGCAAAGCUUCCCAGAGCAGAUGAAGAAACCAAGUUGCCCAAGAUCACACAGCAAGAGGAGGCUCCGGCUCAAGCGCUUACUGCAAGUGCAGGGCCUCUGUCCUGGGCUGCCCUCUCUACCUCCUGCUGACCAGCCAGCUCCAGCCCAGGUCAUUCAGAGAGACACCACAAAGGCUGCACCUGCAGAUGCCACCCAGGUCCAUCCUCUGGUCCCCUGA
RNAcentral lists this long non-coding RNA (1331 nucleotides) under Callithrix jacchus (white-tufted-ear marmoset). Its description in RNAcentral is "lncRNA (ENSCJAG00000071166.1)". The record is from RNAcentral. Lineage: Eukaryota; Metazoa; Chordata; Mammalia; Primates; Cebidae.